Molecule: long non-coding RNA, 1201 nt
Filed under: Nicotiana benthamiana
Lineage: Eukaryota; Viridiplantae; Streptophyta; Magnoliopsida; Solanales; Solanaceae
Description: long non-coding RNA (NBEN_LNC028123)
Source: RNAcentral
UCCAUAGCUGCCCCCUCCCCCCCAUGGCCACUGCACCUUCCCCAUGCCGGGCGGACCACUCCAUUUCAUAGCCAGCCCCUUCGUUCGUCACCCAGCCCCUCCAUCACCAGAAAAACCACCCUCGUAGUUCCCGUUCCACUGCCCCCACGUCGUCCAGCCCCUCACGACCCCCCAUCUUCAUUGCGCAACACCAGCCGCCAUCGUCUCCAGUCCAAACGAGCCCCGUCGUUCUUCCCUAUUCCAGCGUCACUGACCAAACGACCAACCUCUUCCUGGUGAACCACCGGACAGUCCAAACGAGCCCAUCUCUGCCCUGCUAUAUCAGACUAGCAAUAACCAUCGCCUGUCCGUUUAUGUUAGAGUUUAGUCGAGUCGAAUCCAUUGAGAAAUUUGGCAAGUUCGAGCUUUGAGCUUCCGAAAUGGACUAAGCUUGAAUCAGGUGUCCGAUGCGGCGAGGCAGUUCGGUUAGGAAUGCUAUGAGGUUCCGUUGAGAUUCAAUUUGAGAUCGUUGUUCUUCAUUUCCGGUUCGAGGUUCGGAUCAAUAACUCGUUUGUUAUGGUUUGUUUCUUCGAGAUCUUAUUGCAUUGUUUAUGAGAGAAAAUAAACAACAGUUGAGGUUUCGAUUUCCUAUUAUGCUAUUUGUUAAAGAUCUGAUAUUUGCAUCUAUGAUUAAUUUCAUUAAAGUGCUUGUUAAAUCUUAAUAGUAUUUUAUAGUUUGUGUUACUGCAUAUCUGAUAAAUAUAAUAGUUUGUGUUAAAUCAAUCUUUAGUUUUCUAUUUGGAUGGUGAGAAUAAGAAUAUGACGUGGGAUUUUGAAGGAGCACUAAAGCCAGUUCAUUUCGAAUUCGAAAUUGGAUAUCGCAUGAAGUUGUUGUUGCAUCAUACUGUUAUUAUAUUAAUCUAGGUCCAGUAAUGUGUACUUAUAGUUGCCAAAUUCAUUUUCAAGCCACCAGGAGUAACUCCAUAUGCGAUGGCUUGGUUCCUGGACCCUUCAAAGAGUUUUCUCAUUUCAGGAUUGUGAACCGGAAUCUUAUGGCGUGUUAAUGUUCCUUCAUUUUUUGUCUGUGUUAAAUUUAGAAAUGUUAUUUGUUUCAAAGUUUAUUCCCUUGUACCCGUGUCAGUCAGAGUUGUUCUUAGUAGUUCAAUAGAAUUUUGUUCUGAUUCAUUGUUUUUCAUUUUGAUGAUAUUUAAUCUGAUCCGAG